Molecule: non-coding RNA, 113 nt
Organism: Acanthosepion pharaonis
Lineage: Eukaryota; Metazoa; Mollusca; Cephalopoda; Sepiida; Sepiidae
Source: the annotation of a GenBank genome assembly
UACGUCCAUAUAACGUUGAAACAUUGGUUCCUGUAUGAUCACCGAAGUUAGGCAAUGUUGCGUCUGGUCAGUACCUAGAUGGGUGACUGUUUGGGAAUACCAGGUGCUGUAAG